RNAcentral lists this ribosomal RNA (478 nucleotides) under uncultured bacterium. RNAcentral describes it as "partial 16S ribosomal RNA". It matches the Rfam family "Bacterial small subunit ribosomal RNA", at positions 28 to 523 of the family's 1533-position model. The record is from RNAcentral.
GACGAACGCUGGCGGCGUGCUUAACACAUGCAAGUCGAACGGUAAGGCCCUUCGGGGUACACGAGUGGCGAACGGGUGAGUAACACGUGGGUGAUCUGCCCUGCACUUUGGGAUAAGCCUGGGAAACUGGGUCUAAUACCGAAUAGGACUCCGGACUGCAUGGUCUGGGGUGGAAAGCUUUUGCGGUGUGGGAUGGGCCCGCGGCCUAUCAGCUUGUUGGUGGGGUGAUGGCCUACCAAGGCGACGACGGGUAGCCGGCCUGGGAGGGUGACCGGCCACACUGGGACUGAGCUACGGCCCAGACUCCUACGGGAGGCAGCAGUGGGGAAGAUUGCACAAUGGGCGCAAGCCUGAUGCAGCGACGCCGCGUGAGGGAUGACGGCCUUCGGGUUGUAAACCUCUUUCAGCACAGACGAAGCGCAAGUGACGGUAUGUGCAGAAGAAGGACCGGCCAACUACGUGCCAGCCGCCGCGGUAA